This 253-nucleotide ribosomal RNA is filed under the name uncultured bacterium. RNAcentral's name for it is "partial 16S ribosomal RNA". It matches the Rfam family "Bacterial small subunit ribosomal RNA", at positions 524 to 776 of the family's 1533-position model. The record is from RNAcentral.
UACGAAGGGGGCUAGCGUUGCUCGGAAUCACUGGGCGUAAAGGGCGCGUAGGCGGACUCUUAAGUCGGGGGCGAAAGCCCAGGGCUCAACCCCGGAAUUGCCUUCGAUACUGAGAGUCUUGAGUUCGGAAGAGGUUGGUGGAACUGCGAGUGUAGAGGUGAAAUUCGUAGAUAUUCGCAAGAACACCAGUGGCGAAGGCGGCCAACUGGUCCGAUACUGACGCUGAGGCGCGAAAGCGUGGGGAGCAAACAGG